GAUGAACGCUGGCGGCGUGCUUAACACAUGCAAGUCGAACGGAAAGGCCCAAGCUUGCUUGGGUACUCGAGUGGCGAACGGGUGAGUAACACGUGGGUGAUCUGCCCUGCACUUCGGGAUAAGCCUGGGAAACUGGGUCUAAUACCGGAUAGGACCACGUCUUGGAUGUUGUUGUGGAAAGUUUUUUCGGUGUGGGAUGAGCUCGCGGCCUAUCAGCUUGUUGGUGUGGUAAUGGCCUACCAAGGCGUCGACGGGUAGCCGGCCUGCGAGGGUGUACGGCCACAUUGGGACUGAGAGACGGCCCAGACUCCGACGGGAGGCAGCAGGGGGGAAUAUUGCACAAUGGGGGCAAGCCUGAUGCAGCGACGCCGCGUGGGGGAUGACGGCCUUCGGGUUGUAAACUCCUUUCGCUAGGGACGAAGCGUUUUUGUGACGGUACCUGGAGAAGAAGCACCGGCUAACUACGUG
This 468-nucleotide ribosomal RNA is filed under the name uncultured bacterium. RNAcentral describes it as "partial 16S ribosomal RNA". It matches the Rfam family "Bacterial small subunit ribosomal RNA", at positions 28 to 507 of the family's 1533-position model. The record is from RNAcentral.